GGGCCGUUAACUCAGUUGGCAGAGUAUCUGCCUUUUAAGCAGAGAGUCGCUGGUUCGAAUCCAGCACGGCCCACCA
RNAcentral lists this transfer RNA (76 nucleotides) under Deltaproteobacteria bacterium. Its description in RNAcentral is "tRNA-Lys". It matches the Rfam family "tRNA". From Rfam's summary of the family: Transfer RNA (tRNA) molecules are approximately 80 nucleotides in length. Their secondary structure includes four short double-helical elements and three loops (D, anti-codon, and T loops). The record is from RNAcentral. Lineage: Bacteria; Pseudomonadati; Myxococcota; Myxococcia. RNAcentral also lists the same sequence under 2 other names.